ACGGUGAGGGAUGAAAGCUGGGGGAGCAAACCGGAUUAGAUACCCGGGUAGUCCCAGCUGUAAACGAUGCAGACUCGGUGAUGGGCUGGCUUCGAGCUAGCCCAGUGCCGCAGGAAAGCCGUUAAGUCUGCCGCCUGGGGAGUACGGUCGCAAGACCGAAACMUAAAAGAARAGGCGGGGGAACAACACAAGGGGSGAAGACUGCKGUUCAUUGAGA
RNAcentral lists this ribosomal RNA (217 nucleotides) under uncultured Nitrososphaerota archaeon. RNAcentral describes it as "uncultured thaumarchaeote partial 16S ribosomal RNA". It matches the Rfam family "Archaeal small subunit ribosomal RNA", at positions 694 to 910 of the family's 1478-position model. Lineage: Archaea; Thermoproteati; Nitrososphaerota. The record is from RNAcentral.